This is a long non-coding RNA of Monodelphis domestica (gray short-tailed opossum), 3721 nucleotides long. NCBI's taxonomy places the organism in Eukaryota, Metazoa, Chordata, Mammalia, Didelphimorphia, Didelphidae. The record is from Ensembl.
ACAGACCUGCAAACUCUUAACAUUUCCACUCAUCAGUUAGCAGCAUCUCUGUCUCUGUCUCUCUCUUUCUCUCUCCCUCUCUCCCUCCCUCCCUCUCCCUCUGUCUCUCUCUCACUCUCUGUCUAUGUCUUUCUGUCUGUCUGUUUUUCUCUGUCUCUGUCCCUCUUUCCCUCCCUCCCUCUUUCUCUGUCUCUCUCUGUCCCUUUCUCUGUCUGUGUCUUUCUGUCUGUCUGUUUUUCUCUCUCUCUGUCUUUUUGUCUGUCUCUCAUUUUCUCUCUCUGUCUCUGUUUGUCUGUCUCCCUCUCUUUCUCUCGGUGUCUCUGUUUCUCUCUCCCCCUCUCCUCCCUAUCUCUCUCUCCUCUCUUGCUCACUCUCUUCCUCUCCCCCCUGUCUCUUUUUCUUUGUCUCUGUCUGUCUCCCUCUCCUCUCUGUAUCUUUGUGUCUCUCUCUCCCCCUCCCUAUCUCUCCUCUUUUUCUUCCUCUCCAUCUUCCUCUCUCUCUUCUUCUUUGUCUCUGUCUCUGUCUCUGUCUCUGUCUCUCUCCCCCUCCCUAGCUCUCUCCUCUCUCGCUCACUCUCUUCCUCUCCCUCCUCUCUCUUUUUCUUUGUCUCUGUCUAUCUUACUGUCUCCCUCUCCAUCUCUCUGUCUCUCUCUCCCCCUCCCUAUAUAUCUCCUCUAUCACUCGAUCUCUUCCUCUCCCUCUCCCUCUCUCUUUUUCUUUGUCUCUGUCUAUCUGACUGUCUCCUUUCUCCUUCUCUCUCUCUGUCUCUCUCUCCCCCUCCCUAUCUCUCUCCUCUCUUUUCCUUUGUCUCUGUCUCUCUUUCUUGCUGUCUCUCUCUCCCCCUCCCUGCCUCUCCUCUCUUUCUUCCUCUCCCCCCUCUCUCUUUUUCUUUGUCUCUGUCUGUCUCUGUCUCUCUCUCUCUCCCCCUCCCUAGCUCUCUCCUCUCUCGCUCACUCUCUUCCUCUUCCUCUGUCUCCCUCUCUCUCUUUUUGUCUGUCUGUCUGUCUGUCUGUCUGUCUGUCUGUCUGUCUGUCUGUCUCCCCACCACUUUGGAAUGGAUUUUACUUAAUAACUCCAGUUACGGGCUCUAUUUUUUCCAGCUAAGAGCCUAACAUGUAUCCUUCCGUGUCAAUAUUCAGAUAAGCCCCCAAUUAUUCUGCUCAUGAAAUGUGACCAAGCUGCCAGCAACAUAACGAAGUCCUCUGGCCAUCACAGCUGGGGAAGUACUUACUGGAUCGGAAGGCUACUCCUCCAGUGGACGGAUGCGGAGCAGAAAACAGCAAACUAAUCAUGGAGAAAAGGAAAUGUCUGUUUUAUUAGAUAUUUAAUUCUACUAAAGUUUCAUUUGUGACUAGAUUAGUCAAAUGAAUUUUAAAGAAUAAGUUACAGAAGAUGUGUGUGUGUUAACCCUUAUCGUCUACCUCAGUAACUCUUAACACCGAAAGGCAAGGGCUAGGCAGACUGGGUGAAGUGACUUGGCCAAGAUCACACAGCUAGGAAGACUGUGAGGUCAGUGUGGUUUUGAGAUGCCCCUCUCUGUCUCUGUCUCACCAUAUGGAGCUAGGUGGGGCAGGCAGCAGUGCCUUUUGGACAGGGGCCUUGCCUGGGGACAGGGGUCAGUAAGAUCCGGGUUUGUGUGAGCUCAGGCGGGGUCUCCGAACAAUUCUUUAAGACCAAGCUCCAGGGGUAUUCCCAAUCUGUAUUGGGAGAGGGAGUUUCCCCGCAAAGAUGAAGUCACAGGUUUGGAACCUUCCCACUCUCCCACCCUUAUUAAGCACACACACACACACACACACACACACACACACACACACACACACACACAGUGCCAUCUUCUAACGGGCCUUAAAGAGCACUGAAAAGAAAAGCAAGCCAGGCGGCUGCUAAAAUGGAUUCGGUGACAGGGACGUGCCCACCCAUUAGAACACUUGAUGGAGGGGAUUUGUGGGGGCGGGGCGGGGAAGAGGCAGGAUCUCCCCCGGAGCUAAGCCCUCCAGUGGCCUGAUGCAGGGGUUCGGGAUCUAGAGCUGGAAAGGCUCCCACAGGUGAUCUAGUCCAACCCACUGGUUUCACAGAUGAGAAAAGUGAGGCGCAGAGAAGUGACUUGCCUGAGAUCACAAAGGGAGUGAGAGGCAGAGGCCGAACUGAGCCCAGGAUCCCGAUUCCAGAGGCAGCCAGCACUCAUCCACGGCAUCCCUCCGCAAGCCAUGUCGGUCCCGCUUCGAGCGGGGGCUCUUGGGGGCCAGCAGCUGCAGGACUAGCCCGCAAGCAGGCCCCCAAGUCUGGGGAAGGAGAGGCGCACUUGAUGCCAGUGGCCGGCCCGGGAUCAGAGGAAUGAAUGAGGCGUCAAUUCCCCCAACGGUAAACUUGCGGGGGAGGGGGGGGGCGGGAGGCGAGGGGCGCGGGGGGAGGAAGUCCAAGGCGGCAGGUUGAGGGUGGUGUGUGGAGAGGGGCACAGGUGAGAAGCUGGAAGGGGCUGAGGGGGAGGGGAAGAGAGCGGGCAGCCACGGGGCACAGGGCGAGGGGGCAGGGGCGUCUGUGUCUACCUGUUUGUGCUGGAGCCUGCGUACCUCAGAUGUAGUCGUUGUCCACGUCUCUGCAGAUGUACCAGAGGAUAACGUAGAGGAUGAGCAGGAUGGCAAAGAGGAACAAAGCCACGAAGAUGGCCUUGGUCACAGGAGACACCACGGAAUGCAUGGCCCUGGUGAGAGAAGGUCACCAGGGAGUGGGGAGGAGGAAAAAGGGGAGGUGUGGCUGCCACCACCAACCCUUAUCCAAGCCCAAAGCUCGACUGCCUAGACUUGGGGGAAACUUAAAUAGUUGCUGGAAAAAGCCCGCCUCCCUCCUUAGGGCGUCUGCGCAGUGCCCAGCUGGGGCGGGGGAGUGUUUAAGGCAUCCCCUUCCCCACGGAGCGCCCCUUGGCUGCUGCCACUCCCCCCCAUGCACUCGAUGUUCCAGCCAAAUCGAUCUCUCUCCAGCCAGUCCGGAACAUGCCCUUUUGCCUUCCUGCCGCCCCCGUCCUCCUGAUCAUUCUCAGACUUGGAACAUAACUCCCUCCUCACCUCCGCCCUUGGAAUCUCUCCUUUCCUUUAAGGCCCAGCUUGGGGCCAUCCAUCUCCCACGGAAAGCCUUUCCUGCCUCCCCGGUGAAGAGUGCCUAGAUCCUGUCACUAGAGUGGGGGGCGGGGGGCGCGAUCAGAGCCUUUCCUCCCCAGAAGCUGGUACAGCGGACCUAGAGGAGGUCCUAGCCCAAGGAACUUCCCUCAUCUUUUAGAAUGAAAGGGUCAGACGAGCUCUAGGCUUCCUUCAAGCCUCCCAUUUGGACUCAGCAAGUCUACAAAUCAACCCAACUCCAUCAAUUUCUAGAGUUCCAUUCUCUUCACUUCCUAGACUAUCCACGUUUGGAAAAUGGAGAAAAAAGGACGUUUGCAGGAACAAAUGAGAAUACUUUGUAAUCCCCGAAGGCUUUAUUUAUCUCUGACACUGGUCUCCCCACCUAAGAUAGAAAGCUGCCAUUUUAACCUUGGGGGGCUACUUUUCAACAGAUACAAAAACUAAGGGAAAUGUCCUUUUGCUGACCUUCUUUGCUUGUGAACCCCAAAAUCGGGAACAGAAAGAAUUUCUAGGAUUUAGAACUGUAAGAAACCUUAGAGAUUGGUUAGUCUACAGCCCUCAUUUAAUUGGGUAAUAAAUUAAAGCUCAGAAAAGGAAAGGGACUUAUC